This 83-nucleotide transfer RNA is filed under the name Agromyces sp. 3263. Its description in RNAcentral is "tRNA-Leu". It matches the Rfam family "tRNA". Rfam says of the family: Transfer RNA (tRNA) molecules are approximately 80 nucleotides in length. Their secondary structure includes four short double-helical elements and three loops (D, anti-codon, and T loops). Lineage: Bacteria; Bacillati; Actinomycetota; Actinomycetes; Micrococcales; Microbacteriaceae. The record is from RNAcentral.
GGGGGCGUUCCGAUCUUGGUUCAGGGUCGCGACUCAAAAUCGCGUGUGCAUUGCACAAGUGGGUUCGAUCCCCACCGCCCCCA